GAUCCUGGCUCAGAUUGAACGCUGGCGGCAUGCUUUACACAUGCAAGUCGAACGGGGUUGGGAGCUUGCUUCCAAUCUAGUGGCGAACGGGUGAGUAAUACAUCGGAACGUACCGUGUAGUGGGGAUAACGUAGCGAAAGUUACGCUAAUACCGCAUACGAUCCACGGAUGAAAGCAGGGGACCUUCGGGCCUUGUGCUAUACGAGCGGCCGAUGUCUGAUUAGCUAGUUGGUGAGGUAAAAGGCUCACCAAGGCGACGAUCAGUAGCGGGUCUGAGAGGAUGAUCCGCCACACUGGGACUGAGACACGGCCCAGACUCCUACGGGAGGCAGCAGUGGGGAAUUUUGGACAAUGGGCGCAAGCCUGAUCCAGCCAUGCCGCGUGUCUGAAGAAGGCCUUCGGGUUGUAAAGGACUUUUGUCAGGGAGCAAAACUUACUGGUUAAUACCUGGUGAGGUUGAGAGUACCUGAAG
RNAcentral lists this ribosomal RNA (472 nucleotides) under uncultured bacterium. RNAcentral's name for it is "bacterial SSU rRNA". It matches the Rfam family "Bacterial small subunit ribosomal RNA", at positions 15 to 484 of the family's 1533-position model. The record is from RNAcentral.